AUUGAACGCUGGCGGCAGGCCUAACACAUGCAAGUCGAGCGGAUGAAGGGAGCUUGCUCCUGGAUUCAGCGGCGGACGGGUGAGUAAUGCCUAGGAAUCUGCCUGGUAGUGUGGGAUAACGUCCGGAAACGGGCGCUAAUACCGCAUACGUCCUGAGGGAGAAAGUGGGGGAUCUUCGGGCCUCACGCUAUCAGAUGAUCCUAGGUCGGAUUAGCUAGUUGGUGGGGUAAAGGCCUACCAAGGCGACGAUCCGUAACUGGUCUGAGAGGAUGAUCAGUCACACUGGAACUGAGACACGGUCCAGACUCCUACGGGAGGCAGCAGUGGGGAAUAUUGGACAAUGGGCGAAAGCCUGAUCCAGCCAUGCCGCGUGUGUGAAGAAGGUCUUCGGAUUGUAAAGCACUUUAAGUUGGGAGGAAGGGCAGUAAGUUAAUACCUUGCUGUUUUGACGUUACCAACAGAAUAAGCACCGGCUAACUUCGUG
RNAcentral lists this ribosomal RNA (484 nucleotides) under uncultured bacterium. RNAcentral's name for it is "partial 16S ribosomal RNA". It matches the Rfam family "Bacterial small subunit ribosomal RNA", at positions 30 to 507 of the family's 1533-position model. The record is from RNAcentral.